Hypanus sabinus (Atlantic stingray) is the source of this 2157-nucleotide long non-coding RNA. RefSeq lists it as uncharacterized. Lineage: Eukaryota; Metazoa; Chordata; Chondrichthyes; Myliobatiformes; Dasyatidae. The record is from RefSeq and is a predicted model, not a curated record. The transcript is spliced from 3 exons.
GCGAGGUGCAUGUGUAUCACAUGGUAGUGUGAUGACAUAUGCAAUUCACGUACUUAUACAUAUAAACUGUCAUAACAGGAACAGGAAGCACCAGAGAGACAUUCUGUAAUAAUCAAUAAACUAAUUGUUUGGAACCAAAUUAUCUUGCCUGGUUUGUCAGGGCUGGGUGUGUCUGUACCCAUGCCACCCCAGCCCCUGGCACCCUUUCUCUGCUACCUGUCCCAUACACCUCACCAUUCCCAACAUCUUUUGCUCCUGCCAGAUUUAAAAACUCGCUGUCUGCUCCACGUUGACAAAUACAGUACUGUGCAAAAGUCUUAGGCACACUACCUAUAGACGUUUGCCCAGUACUGUAGAUUACCACAGUAAUGUAGUGGUUAAUGCAACGCUAUUACCACUCAUGGCAUCAGAGUUCAGAGUUCAAUUCUGGUGCCGCCUGUAAGGAGUUUGUACGGUCUCCUUGUGCCAUGUGAGUUUCUUCCGGGUGCUCCGGUUUCCUCGCACAGACCAAAGACGUACCAGUUAGUAGGUUAAUUGGUCAUUGUAAAUUGUCCCGUGAUUAGGCUAGGGUUAAAUAGGUGUGUUGCUGGUUGGGCCAGAAGGGCCUAUUCUGCGCUGUAUCUCCAAAUAAAUAAAUAAAUUUCUCUGCCUUAUCGAUUGAAGUGUUUGUCCUUACUGUUGGCUUUUUAUCCCUUGCACAAAUGUUCUGAUGCAAAAUGCCUCUGAGCUUCUAUCCAGUGAAUCCCUCUCAUUAGAAAUUGCCCGAGGCGAAUACUCAGCCACACACUGUCCCUGAAUAAUGAGAUUAACGCCAUAUAGUGGCUUAUUACAUUUACUUCAGAGGCAGUCAGCUUGGCAGUAUGUCAGCACCUAUCAAGAAUCCGUUUGCAAACCCCAUAAUGAAUGCACUUAUUUCACUGCAUCAUUUGGACAUUUCUUUGCCCUUCCUCCAGGUAUUAACCCAGGGGAUAUUGGGGUGCAGUCACGUUCCUCGUGGCUUUGCCUUCAGUCCGACAAAUCAGAGUUCACCAUUAUUCAUUGGCGGAGGAUGCUGAAGAUUGGCUGCACAUUCAACCAUAACGUUCGGGUCCAGUGGCAUAAUUGUUAAGUUGCUCAGGCAAUACCUAGGUCAUUGAUCUGGAGAGUUCAGUUCAAAUUCCUCCAAAUCAGCUGGAAGCUUAGACUUAGACAACUGAAUAAAUCACAGAAUAAUAGUUUCCCACGGACUAGGUGUCUGCUCCGAGGCCAACACCUCAAUAUAUAUAUAGCUAGGGUGCCUAAGUCUUUUAAACAGUACUGUAUUUGUCAAAUGGAGUGCGAGUUCGUAAAUCUGGAGGGAGCAAAGGAUGCCAAGAUUGUUUUGCACUGGAAAUGGCAUUAAACAAUCUUGAAACGAUUGAUGCUGAGGAUGUAUAAGGCACUGGUUGGACGAGUUCUGUCAGUGUCCGUGACUUGCAGCUGCACUCAAACUUCAGUUCUUUACGGCGAUGGUUCCCAUUCCCAGGGCUCACUGACUGGCCGCUGCUUGAUACCCCCAGGAUACGGCCUGGAACGUGAGUACACCUUCCGGUUUCCGAGGCUCGCAGACCUGUGGAUGAGGCAUUUCUAAGUGAGUGGUGCCAACUGAAGCAUCGCAGGAGAAAACGGAAUAUCAGAAGCAGCAUAUCAUCUGUCGGAGUUCUCUACACUCAACGAAUCACUCUCUAUCUUUCCACUUGUGGGGGAGAGUUUGCUGCCGAUUCUCAAAUCAGAGAACUCAAAAACAGUUACGCGACAGACUUUAACACCGUAAUCAAUGAGUUGCUUUGUUUUUGUUGGUCUCCCUUCUUGCUGAGUGACACCUCUCUGCCCCUUCAUUAUGGAUGGAGAGAGCCAGCGGCAUGUCAAAUUGUUCAGCGAACAAUUAGUUUUUCUGUACUACAGAUCAUGACCUCCCUCGGGGGCUUUGCUUGCUGGGCGGUGGGUGCUGAUGCUUCCUGCUGAAAUAAGUGGGGAAGAAGAGGGGGAGGGUGAUGCUUUGUCGUUGCUUGUGUGUGGGAAGGGUGAGAAGUAUGGCUUAGGCGUCCCAACACGUUUACUGUCACAUUAUUUGGGGUACUCUUCUGUUUUCGUGGAUAGUCAUUUCAUGUUGAAGACCGAGAAUUUCAGGUUGUAAAC